GGUUAAAACAUGACCUGUAUAUCAUUUUCCCUUUUAAAACCAAAUACCUAAGUCUAGUUAACGCAUUACAUUUUCUUCUGUAUUCGUAAAAGAGUAAACAAUUUUCGUGGGCCCAACCAAAUGCUUUGGUAUAAUCUUUAUCUGGUUCAAUCGAGACCAACCGUUUAGAAAGCAACAGAUUUUGAACAUUUCGCGAGCAGCAAACCCAAAAGGAUCAAAACAGAUUAACCACCACGUCAACUUUGCCUUGAGAAUUGCAGCCUUAAUGUAAGUUCAAUAAAAUAAAAUGAAGAAUUCCUGACACCAUA
Molecule: long non-coding RNA, 308 nt
Filed under: Mytilus galloprovincialis (Mediterranean mussel)
Lineage: Eukaryota; Metazoa; Mollusca; Bivalvia; Mytilida; Mytilidae
Source: RNAcentral